RNAcentral lists this ribosomal RNA (250 nucleotides) under uncultured archaeon. Its description in RNAcentral is "partial 16S ribosomal RNA". It matches the Rfam family "Bacterial small subunit ribosomal RNA", at positions 524 to 773 of the family's 1533-position model. The record is from RNAcentral.
UACGUAGGAUGCAAGCGUUGUUCGGAAUUACUGGGCGUAAAGAGUACGUAGGCGGUAAUGAAAGUCUGAUAUUAAAGACUGGGGCUUAACCUCAGGAGUGUAUCGGAAACUUCAUAACUAGAGGACAGUAGAGGAAAUUGGAAUUCCCAGUGUAGCGGUGAAAUGCGUAGAUAUUGGGAGGAACACCAGUGGCGAAAGCGAAUUUCUGGGCUGUUACUGACGCUGAGGUACGAAAGUGUGGGGAGCAAAC